UACGAAGGGUGCAAACGUUGCUCGGAAUUAUUGGGCGUAAAGCGCACGUAGGCGGCUUAGCAAGUCGGAUGUGAAAUCCCUCGGCUCAACCAAGGAAGUGCAUCCGAAACUGCUGAGCUUGAGUACGAAAGAGGAUCGCGGAAUUCCCGGUGUAGAGGUGAAAUGCGUAGAUAUCGGGGGGAAUACCAGUGGCGAAAGCGGCACCCUAGCAUUAGCCUGACGCUCAUGUGCGAAAGCGUGGGGAGCGAACGGG
Molecule: ribosomal RNA, 253 nt
Filed under: uncultured bacterium
Lineage: Bacteria
Description: partial 16S ribosomal RNA
Rfam family: Bacterial small subunit ribosomal RNA
Source: RNAcentral